RNAcentral lists this RNase P RNA (398 nucleotides) under Heterorhizobium halophytocola. RNAcentral's name for it is "Rhizobium halophytocola RNase P RNA component class A". It matches the Rfam family "Bacterial RNase P class A". From Rfam's summary of the family: Ribonuclease P (RNase P) is a ubiquitous endoribonuclease, found in archaea, bacteria and eukarya as well as chloroplasts and mitochondria. Its best characterised activity is the generation of mature 5'-ends of tRNAs by cleaving the 5'-leader elements of precursor-tRNAs. The record is from RNAcentral. Lineage: Bacteria; Pseudomonadati; Pseudomonadota; Alphaproteobacteria; Hyphomicrobiales; Rhizobiaceae.
CCAGUCGGCCGGGCAGCCGCGCUUUACCAAUGUCGAAAGACGGUAAGGUGAGGAAAGUCCGGGCUCCACGGAAACACGGUGCCGGAUAACGUCCGGCGAGGGCGACCUCAGGGAAAGUGCCACAGAAAGUAAACCGCCCGUUCUCGAACGGGUAAGGGUGAAAGGGUGGGGUAAGAGCCCACCGCGUGCCUGGCGACAGGGACGGCAUGGUAAACCCCACCGGGAGCAAAACCGAAUAGGGAUGACGCGGGGCAGCUUGCUGCCUACAGCCUGUUUCCGGGCCAGUCAUCCGGGUGGGUUGCGACGAGGCAGCGUGUAAACGCUGUCCCAGAUGAAUGGCUGCCACGUUCCGGGAAACCGGAGCCAUACAGAACCCGGCUUACAGGCCGACUGGCAAU